This 277-nucleotide long non-coding RNA is filed under the name Carica papaya (papaya). RNAcentral describes it as "long non-coding RNA (CPAP_LNC003045)". Lineage: Eukaryota; Viridiplantae; Streptophyta; Magnoliopsida; Brassicales; Caricaceae. The record is from RNAcentral.
AUAAUUCUUUUUACCUAAAAAUACUCCUUAAGACGUCAAAAGAAAUACCAAAUUCCUUACUGAAACCUUGAUAUUUUCUUUUUCACCGUUCUUCUUUUCUUUCCCUCAUUCUUUCUCUAAAUCACUCUCUCUCUCUCUCUUUCUCUCUCUCUAAGUCUUGAAAAAGGGAAGAAUGGAAGUGUGGGGAAGAGUGGGAAGGGAAGACUUAUUUAUAGAAAUUUGAAACCGUUGGAUUCAUACAAAGUGGCAAAAUUCGGUGAAGAGAGAAGAAAAAGAU